AUCACCUGGGGAUCUCAUUAAACUGCAGGUUCUGACCCAGUAGGUCUGGGUGGACCAGGGAAUCUGCAUUUCUAACAAGCUCUCAGGUGUUGGCGCU
This 97-nucleotide microRNA precursor is filed under the name Mustela putorius furo (domestic ferret). Its description in RNAcentral is "miRNA (ENSMPUG00000021993.1)". The record is from RNAcentral. Lineage: Eukaryota; Metazoa; Chordata; Mammalia; Carnivora; Mustelidae.